This 709-nucleotide long non-coding RNA is filed under the name Salvia miltiorrhiza (redroot sage). Its description in RNAcentral is "long non-coding RNA (SMIL_LNC008878)". The record is from RNAcentral. Lineage: Eukaryota; Viridiplantae; Streptophyta; Magnoliopsida; Lamiales; Lamiaceae.
CUCAAAGCUAUUGGUUUAAAAUCUCUACAACACAUCAAUAAAGUAAAGUACAUUAAGUAUUGCAACGGAAACAACUCAAGUGGAUUACAUGUAUGAUGACAUGAAAUCCUGAGCCUAAUUUAAUACAUUAACAACAAGACUUUGCUCUGCUCGCUUCCAUCCGCAUCAUAGCUUAACCUGCAUAUUUAGAAACAUACGCAGGGCUGAGUACCAAAAAGCACUCAGUGGUCAUGCCGAAAUAACUUUAAAGCUUGCUCUUAGAGCUAUAUAUUGAACUUGCCAUCUCAAGCAUCACACAGGAGUUUUACUUAAAUAACAUGUGCACGCAAAAACUGUAAAACUUCUCCAUAAUCAUCAUAACAUCAUAUACGUCUGCAGACAUUAACAUGUAUGUACCAUAUCUACGCAUCAUAUAACUCUGAGUGUUGAGAAGUAGGUCUCCUUCUCAAACACGAUGACAAGCUAACUCAAAGGUUAACUGUCAACUCUGUGUACACAAAUCCUGACUCGCUCAGGACCCGAAUUCGUUCUUCUAUGUAGAUGGUAUCAUACAAAUCUCAAACAUUGGCAAGUCAAUAAUUGGAAAAUAAAUGCAUACACUCAAUCUUUAUAUAAUAAAGUAUGCAUCUUCACUUCUUGAGUUAGUAAGCCCACCUGAUACGCUUAAUGAAAUAGAAAUCCUUGCUUGUUCAUUCUACACUGCCACUCG